ACAAUACUGGAGAGUGAAUACUUGGGAGAGUUGAGGGUGUGAGCUUACACCGACGAGCCCACACACCAACAGUGGUGAACCUGACGUGAAAGAAAUACAUGGCGGCCGGAGAGAAAAGGAUGACGAAGAGCAGUUACCAGGUGGGGGAGAGCUCCAAGCGACCCGAGCGGGAGCUGGAGGGGUAUCGGCCGGAGCAACGUCACUCCCGGGACCGGUACUCAGAGGAAGUAAGGGCCAACGAGGAGUGGGACGACGAGGAUAGGCUGCGUAUGGAGUUCGAGGAGAUCAGGUACGGCUGGGAGUCACCCGAGAGGCGCCGGCACAAAGGGGCGGCAUCGCCACCGAGG
This 347-nucleotide long non-coding RNA is filed under the name Zostera marina. RNAcentral describes it as "long non-coding RNA (ZMAR_LNC005397)". The record is from RNAcentral. Lineage: Eukaryota; Viridiplantae; Streptophyta; Magnoliopsida; Alismatales; Zosteraceae.